RNAcentral lists this ribosomal RNA (411 nucleotides) under uncultured microorganism. Its description in RNAcentral is "bacterial SSU rRNA". It matches the Rfam family "Bacterial small subunit ribosomal RNA", at positions 509 to 918 of the family's 1533-position model. The record is from RNAcentral.
CAGCCGCCGCGGUAAUACGUAGGGUGCGAGCGUUAAUCGGAUUUACUGGGCGUAAAGCGUGCGCAGGCGGCCCGUUAAGACAGGUGUGAAAUCCCUGGGCUCAACCUAGGAAUUGCGCUUGUGACUGGCGGGCUCGAGUACGGUAGAGGGGGGUGGAAUUCCUGGUGUAGCAGUGAAAUGCGUAGAGAUCAGGAGGAACACCGAUGGCGAAGGCAGCCCCCUGGGCCUGUACUGACGCUCAUGCACGAAAGCGUGGGGAGCAAACAGGAUUAGAUCCCCUGGUAGUCCACGCCCUAAACGAUGGGUACUAGCCGUUUGGUGCGCGAUAGCGCUGAGUGGCGAAGCUAACGCGUGAAGUACCCCGCCUGGGGAGUACGGCCGCAAGGUUGAAACUUAAAGGAAUUAGGCGGG